RNAcentral lists this ribosomal RNA (118 nucleotides) under Pteropus alecto (black flying fox). The record is from RNAcentral. Lineage: Eukaryota; Metazoa; Chordata; Mammalia; Chiroptera; Pteropodidae.
GUCUAUGCCAUGCCAUCCUGAACACGCCCAAUCUCGUCUGAUCUCAGAAGCUAAGCAGGGUUGGGCCUGGUUAGUACUUGGAUGGGAGACCACCUAGGAAGACCAGGUGCUGUAGGCA